GAUGAACGCUGGCGGCGUGCCUAAUACAUGCAAGUCGAGCGAACAGACGAGGAGCUUGCUCCUCUGACGUUAGCGGCGGACGGGUGAGUAACACGUGGAUAACCUACCUAUAAGACUGGGAUAACUUCGGGAAACCGGAGCUAAUACCGGAUAAUAUAUUGAACCGCAUGGUUCAAUAGUGAAAGACGGUUUUGCUGUCACUUAUAGAUGGAUCCGCGCCGCAUUAGCUAGUUGGUAAGGUAACGGCUUACCAAGGCAACGAUGCGUAGCCGACCUGAGAGGGUGAUCGGCCACACUGGAACUGAGACACGGUCCAGACUCCUACGGGAGGCAGCAGUAGGGAAUCGUCCGCAAUGGGCGAAAGCCUGACGGAGCAACGCCGCGUGAGUGAUGAAGGUCUUCGGAUCGUAAAACUCUGUUAUUAGGGAAGAACAAAUGUGUAAGUAACUAUGCACGUCUUGACGGUACCAAAUCAGAAAGCCACGGCUAACUACGUG
Molecule: ribosomal RNA, 497 nt
Filed under: uncultured bacterium
Lineage: Bacteria
Description: partial 16S ribosomal RNA
Rfam family: Bacterial small subunit ribosomal RNA
Source: RNAcentral